GUCUUGGACAUGGUGAAGAAUUAAUUUAUCUGUUUGGAAAAUCAUUUGCCAGAGAAGUCUUAGGACGCGAUUUCACAGUCCAGGAGGAAAUUAUGAGUGCUACUAUACGAAAAAUUUGGCACGAUUUCAUAAAGAAUGGAUUCAUCCAUCACAAUAAUCACAACGCUGGAGGUAUGAAUCGGGAGUUUCAUCAUAAGAAAGCGACACACCAUUUUGUCUUUCAGUUGCCAGACUUUUUUCAACUCAAAAGAGGAGAAGUAUCACCACGCAUUACAAACUUUGAGGAGGGAGUGCUAAAAUACUCGAAUGCGCGCCGAAUAAGUUUGUGGAAUGAUUUUUUACCGAAAUUUUACAACAGCAGCACGCAUGUAGAAUUAUCAAAGUGUGAGUCCAUAAUUACGAGGCUAUCACUUCAAGCUGAUCAACCAUAUCGCAGUGUUAUGUAUACUCUACUUGGACUCGUAAUAGUACUUCUUUCAUUCCUCACAAUUUGCAUUAUUCUUCUCAAACGAACUAAAACAGAGAAAGAUCUGACCUUUUUUCGACAGCAGAUGGACUAAACAGAGACAGCGGAGGGUUCCACUUUACUCCUGGCAUUAUCAUCUUACAACACAAAAAUUUUUAUCACACGUCUGUCUGAACGAUAAUUUUUGCACAGAUCUUUGCCUUUUGGAAAUGAUUGAUGAUAUAAACCCAUAAUUCAGGAAAACAAUAUUCUCACCUACAGUGAUAAUUAUAAUUUAAGGUGUCCUGCUGGUAGUAAACAUCCUGAUCCAUUGGUAAAGAACCGAGAUAGAAAUUUUCUGCAUCUUAAACUUUAACCAGCCACUACUCUAAAAUAGUAGUGAAGAGCAAUCUACAGUUUUCGCCAAAAAUUGUCUCUAUGCUUUUUCCAACGAGGGAUUUUACAAAGAGGGCUCCCAUUUCAAAGUAAGUUGCUCCCACUGCCGACCCUGAAGGACGGGGGCUUACUGCCCCCAUAAAAAGUCGACCCUGAAUUUACUUGCGGAAGUUCUUUUCAAAUCGCAAGUCGAUAUUCAUAACUGGUUUUCAUAAAUUAAUAAGUAUCCAUACUUUUUUUACGCCCUGUAGAAGUAAUCCCCAAUGCCUAAUUUGAAUGACUACUGAUGAUCAGUUGGCCAGUCAUGCAAAUAUAGGGAUGAUUUGGAGCCCAGAAUAGGACUGCAAGAAGUGGAGAAACUUCUCCCUCCUCCAAUGAUGGCUCUUUUUUCUCCAUGAAAUUGGAAAUACUUAUAAAUUGGACAAGUUUCAUUCUUUAUUUGAUGAGGAAAACUUUUUGUAAACAAUUACAGUGGCAUUCUUGGUACUUCAGGGACAGUAAAUUCAUGUGUUCUUCGUAAUAGAAUUUUGGGAACACAGGUGAUCCCUCGUAACUUGAACAGUAAUACUUAAGUUGAUCCAUUUAAUAGUCCAUUCUCUACACAAAAAAACACUGCACUUUUUGCUUGGAAUAUGCCGCUUUCAAGGCUCAUUGGUAGUGUCCUCAGGAUACCUGGAUGCUUCCCUAAUUGAGUGUCCCCAGUAGUUUCCAUUGCUAUAAUAUGACAACAAUGGUUAAAUCACAUUUUUCUCUCAUUCACCAUACUAGUGCCGACUAACACACACACUAUUUUCUACAUUAUUCUGACUAAAAUAAAAUUAAGCAGAAUAUUCUUCUUCUUCUUCAUCUUCUUCUUCUUCAUCUUCUUCUUCUUCUUCCCUGAACGACUAGGGCAUAGUCCUAUUUAUCAGGUAAUCCAGGAUCGAGCACAAACUAUAUAAAUAUUAAAAAUCUAAAAAUCACUACAAAUAAAGGACUUGUCAAAUCAAUAAAAACAGCAUAAAAUCUUCAAUCGUCCUUAGGAGAAAAGAGCCAGCUUUAAGCCCAUCUCUUGGGCGGUCGUCCAGGUAAUCUUUUCCCUAAGGGUUGUCCUAUCAUACAAAUUUUAGCUAGUCUCUCUUCAUCCAUUCGGUCAACUUGCUCCAACCACAUAAAUCUCCUCACACUGGUCCACACGGCUACGUCUUGCACCUCAAGAGCAUUCCGGAUGGACUCACUGGUUUGCCGAUCGCAAAGUGUAAAACCCGCAAUCUUUCUUAAGACUUUCAUCUCAACAGUGCGAAAUUGUUGUUUGGUGCGCUUUGUUCCAGCUCUAGUCUCUACGGCAAACGUUGACACCAGCCAAACGAUGGUCUUGUAGACCCUGACAGAAUAUUCAAUGUGCAAAUUACCCUAAUUUAUCUCAAAUUUGCGUGUCCCCUGUACCUGAUUCUGGACAUUAAACAGAUAUUGCAGCACAAGUGAUUACUUGGGAAAACUCCAUUGGAAAUGGAAGUUAAUACCUUUAGAUUUGAGAAAAAAAAUAGGUUUAAUUUUUGUUACUUCAUCGAUAAUUUUUUCACGCACUAGAAUCAUUAUGGCCAGCAACAGUCCAUAACAGUCAGGAGAGACAUGACAAUGAUGUCACAAGCUCUAAAUAAUUACCAUAAGGUUGACAUUUUUCCAAAUACGACCUUUUCUGUUUCAAUUGACUAGGUCACACGUCGAAAAUGGCAAAAAAAGUGAAAAUCGCAAAUUUUUGUGCAUAAUACACGCCAUUCAGGAUGCUAAACAAAAUGUGAUACACUGUAACUAAUAGGGCGUCAAGCAUACACACACACACACACACACACACCACAACACACCCUCACACACUAAUAUCAGCUCAUAAAAUACUUUCAAGGUGUGAGUUUUGGAAAAACUUGUCUUAUUCCGAUACUCUAGGAUGUGCUACUAAGAAGUCCGUGAAAAAAAACACCAACUUUGUCUUUACUUUUAAAGGUAAGCUUCGAAAACAACUUAUUUCUACUCUUUCCUGUUCCUUUUGGUCCUAUGUUUCCAUUCGGCAACAAUUGACAACUCAUUUACUGGUACAAUUGAGACUUGCUUGUCUAAGCCCUGUCGGUGUUCUAUUCAGCCCAUAUAAGUGAAAUCUUAAGUCUGAUUUUUUUUUCAAUGGAGAACUCGAAUUGUCCAAAAUUCGAAAAUCCAAGAUGGCGGACGUGGCCUAAAAUGCUACAUCGGCACCUAAUCAAUUGAUUUAAGUGAAACUUGGUAACUACAAGUACUUUUUGAUGGGAAACUCGAAUUUUCAGUCAAAUUUCCAAAAGGAAAAAAGCCAAGAUAGCGGACAGGGCUUAAAAUACUAUAUUGGCACCUUAUCAAUCGAUUUAAGUGAAACUUGGCAUCUACAUGUACUUCCUGAUGGGAAACUUGAAUUUUCAGUCAAAUUGCCAAAAUUCGAAAAUCUAAGAUGACGGACAUAGCUGAAAACGCCGUCUCGGUAAGGAACCAAUCGAUUUCAAUAAAACUGGACUGGAAAUACCUAGGUAUUCGGAAAAGAAAAUUAAUUGUAGUAGGGGUGCAAUACACGGUUUCCUGUGUAUUUAUGGCUGCGAAAUUAAAAAAUUCCUUCUUUUUUCCACUGUGCGCGGAUUUUCCUGGAAAAUUAUCUCUUCCGGAAAAGCUAGAUUUUUAAAAAAUUCCGAUUUUUCCGGGAAAAAUCGAACUGAUCCAGAAAAAACCAAGGUCAUUUUCAGAAUCAGCGCUACAAAACUACUCGGUAUCAGUUGGCUACUUUAAAAAAAAUGUUGACCAGUGUGAUUAUUAUGUUGAUGCAAUUCCUCAAACUUUUCCUGGCUUUAUCUCCACUUCAUAGGUAUAAAUGCCCACUCAAAAUUUUGAAAUUCGAUGAUUGUGAUCCAUUUCGUAUUGCAUUAUUCCAAGAAUUUGAAGCUUUUUCACGUGUUAAAGAAAGACAGUGCGCAUUUCAACAGACAGAAUUAUCGAAAAGACAAGCAAAAUAUGCCUCAGAUCUCAUUCACGAUGGAUUAAUUUAUCCACGACUUUUUUAGUUCUGCAACAUGUAGUAGAGUUAAAUUAUUUCAAUUAGGUAUGCUGUAAUUAAUGCUCGACGACGCUCUUAUUGUUGUAAUGUAAGUAAUUUCAGUCGUAAAUCGGCAACAAUGCACUGAAAAGUGCAAGGCGCACAUACUUGCAUUU
Molecule: long non-coding RNA, 4042 nt
Filed under: Bemisia tabaci
Lineage: Eukaryota; Metazoa; Arthropoda; Insecta; Hemiptera; Aleyrodidae
Description: lncRNA ENSSSA1NGG013350
Source: RNAcentral